GGUGAACGCUGGCGGCGUGCCUAAUACAUGCAAGUCGAGCGAACAGACGAGGAGCUUGCUCCUCUGACGUUAGCGGCGGACGGGUGAGUAACACGUGGAUAACCUACCUAUAAGACUGGGAUAACUUCGGGAAACCGGAGCUAAUACCGGAUAAUAUAUUGAACCGCAUGGUUCAAUAGUGGAAGACGGUUUUGCUGUCACUUAUAGAUGGAUCCGCGCCGCAUUAGCUAGUUGGUAAGGUAACGGCUUACCAAGGCAACGAUGCGUAGCCGACCUGAGAGGGUGAUCGGCCACACUGGAACUGAGACACGGUCCAGACUCCUACGGGAGGCAGCAGUAGGGAAUCUUCCGCAAUGGGCGAAAGCCUGACGGAGCAACGCCGCGUGAGUGAUGAAGGUCUUCGGAUCGUAAAACUCUGUUAUUAGGGAAGAACAAAUGUGUAAGUAACUAUGCACGUCUUGACGGUACCUAAUCAGAAAGCCACGGCUAACUACGUG
This 497-nucleotide ribosomal RNA is filed under the name uncultured bacterium. RNAcentral's name for it is "partial 16S ribosomal RNA". It matches the Rfam family "Bacterial small subunit ribosomal RNA", at positions 28 to 507 of the family's 1533-position model. The record is from RNAcentral.